AGUGAACGCUGGCGGUAGGCCUAACACAUGCAAGUCGAACGGCAGCACAGUAAGAGCUUGCUCUUACGGGUGGCGAGUGGCGGACGGGUGAGGAAUACAUCGGAAUCUACUUUUUCGUGGGGGAUAACGUAGGGAAACUUACGCUAAUACCGCAUACGACCUACGGGUGAAAGCAGGGGAUCUUCGUACCUUGCGCGAUUGAAUGAGCCGAUGUCGGAUUAGCUAGUUGGCGGGGUAAAGGCCCACCAAGGCGACGAUCCGUAGCUGGUCUGAGAGGAUGAUCAGCCACACUGGAACUGAGACACGGUCCAGACUCCUACGGGAGGCAGCAGUGGGGAAUAUUGGACAAUGGGCGCAAGCCUGAUCCAGCCAUACCGCGUGGGUGAAGAAGGCCUUCGGGUUGUAAAGCCCUUUUGUUGGGAAAGAAAAGCAGCAGGUUAAUACCCCGCUGUUCUGACGGUACCCAAAGAAUAAGCACCGGCUAACUUCGUG
This 492-nucleotide ribosomal RNA is filed under the name uncultured bacterium. RNAcentral's name for it is "partial 16S ribosomal RNA". It matches the Rfam family "Bacterial small subunit ribosomal RNA", at positions 29 to 507 of the family's 1533-position model. The record is from RNAcentral.